Molecule: ribosomal RNA, 483 nt
Filed under: uncultured bacterium
Lineage: Bacteria
Description: bacterial SSU rRNA
Rfam family: Bacterial small subunit ribosomal RNA
Source: RNAcentral
GACGAACGCUGGCGGCGUGCCUAACACAUGCAAGUCGAGCGGAGAUGAUGUGAGGAAGUUUUCGGAUGGAAUCACAUUAUUUUAGCGGCGGACGGGUGAGUAACGCGUGAGCGACCAACCUUGCACAGGGGGAUAACGGACCGAAAGGUUCACUAAUACCGCAUGAGACCACGGUGUUGCAUGACACAGGGGUCAAAGGAGGAAUCCGGUGCAAGACGGGCUCGCGUCCGAUUAGGUAGUUGGAGGGGUAACGGCCCACCAAGCCUAUGAUCGGUAGCCGACCUGAGAGGGUGAUCGGCCACAUUGGAACUGAGAUACGGUCCAAACUCCUACGGGAGGCAGCAGUGGGGAAUAUUGGGCAAUGGGGGAAACCCUGACCCAGCAACGCCGCGUGAAGGAAGAAGGUUUUCGGAUUGUAAACUUCUGUCCUUGGUGAAGAGAAGAAGACGGUAGCCAAGGAGGAAGCCCCGGACUAACUACGUG